CCUACGUGAGGCUGCAGUGAGGAAUAUUUGUCAAUGGACGGAAGUCUGAACCAGCCAUGCCGCGUGCAGGAAGACGGCUCUAUGAGUUGUAAACUGCUUUUGUACAAGGGUAAACCUGAAUACGUGUAUUCAGCUGAAAUUACUUUACGAAUAAGGAUCGGCUAACUCCGUGCCAGCAGCCGCGGUAAUACGGAGGCUCCAAGCGUUAUCCGGAUUUAUUGGGUUUAAAGGGUGCGUAGGCGGAUUGAUAAGUUAGAGGUGAAAUGUCCGAGCUUAACUCGGGAACUGCCUCUAAUACUGUUGAUCGAGAGAGUAGAUGCGGUAGGCGGAAUGUAUGGUGUAGCGGUGAAAUGCUUAGAGAUCAUACAGAACACCGAUUGCGAAGGCAGCUUACCAAUCUAUAUCUGACGUUGAGGCACGAAAGCGUGGGGAGCAAACAGGAUUAGAUACCCGUGUAGGC
Molecule: ribosomal RNA, 460 nt
Filed under: uncultured bacterium
Lineage: Bacteria
Description: partial 16S ribosomal RNA
Rfam family: Bacterial small subunit ribosomal RNA
Source: RNAcentral